Non-coding RNA from Chlorocebus sabaeus (green monkey), 4031 nucleotides. NCBI's taxonomy places the organism in Eukaryota, Metazoa, Chordata, Mammalia, Primates, Cercopithecidae. The record is from RefSeq and is a predicted model, not a curated record.
CCAGGAGCCUCUGUGCUCUCUGGUGACCACACUUCCCUCCAUCCAGUGCACGGCCGCCACACUGCUUCUCUCACAAUAGGUCCUGGUGGUAACGGUCACAUUCAGGACCUGCCCGCACUCCUCCCCCUCCACAAGUGUGACAGGCAGCGUGGUCAGCGAGUUGCCCAGGUCAGUGCCAUUGCGUGCCCAGCCACUGAGGAGGCCCCCAGUGCGUGGGAUGAGGAGGUGCUCAGCGAAGUCGUUCUCAGGGGUGCACACGGGGAGCCCCGCAUCUGGGCACUGGAUGGGCCACUCCAGCUCCAGCAGUGACAGGUCAUUCUCCCCCGUGUCCGCGUCAUACCACAUGUGCACAUGGGCACGCAUUAUCUUGAUCAUCAGUGGGUCUUGGCUCGUUCUGUUAAAAUCUGAAAUCAUGAACAAUCACCAGUUCUUUACAGUCUGAUUUUCAAGGGUGACAUAAUGCUCAGAAACGAGCUUCUCAGUGAGCCACGUGAGGAGGGAGAGACCGACCCUGGAGGACCCGCAGGCUCACUGCCCCAUGGUGUGGACACUGUCCCUUUCUGUGGACAGAAAGGCCACUCACAGAUUGCACCAUUGCAACCAAGUGCCAUGGCGUUUAAAAACAGUCAAGGAAAUGACAAGUAAGGUGAAAGUCGUAACAAUAAAUUGAAGCACGCGGAGAGCGCUCUGUUACCUGCCACGGGAGAUCCUGUAGAUCCAGUGCACGCUUCUCGGAGGUCAGCACCCCACAGGCACACUGGUCUGCAUUUGCGGCAGCAACAUGAGAAUAAAAAUCAGCGCCUUCCCAGUGAAUAUCGGACUCUGUCUAUGGUGUUAACCAUUGCAUAAUUCCGGCUAUGGUACUAACCAUUAUGAUCGUAUCCUUAAUGCUGAUGAAUGUGCAAUAAUUCACACAGACAUGCAGACUGGCAUUAAACCACCCCCUCACAGCGCUCAUGGUUUAGCUCAGAGUGGUCCGAGCAAGCACGAGUGACAGAAACUGCACUUUCUAGCAUUGCCAUUGCUCCAGCAUGGAGACGCGGACCACCUUCUGAGUCGUGGCAACUCCUUAUCAUAAAUCCAUGGGCUUCACCCAAUACUACAGAAGAAGGAAGGAGGAUGUGGACAGGGUCACUGGCACUGGAAGCUGGAGGCUGCUGUGGUCUGAGCACUCACCGUGGGGAAUGCACUGUUUGCGGUCCUCACCAAGCCUGUAGCCUUGAGCACAGCUGCACGUGUAGGAUUCCUGUCCUGGGAGGCAGAAGUGUUGACACCCAUCAGUCCGCUCCAGGUGACAUUCAUUUUUAGCUGAAAAGGAAAAAGAAAAAAAAAAAAACAGAAAUGCUGGCUUGGCAUUUGAUCACAGCCUUGCACACAGAGUUCUGGUGUUUUGGUCCAUGUGUCCUCAUUCUCUUCAGACCGUUGCCCUUUGUGUCAGUGUUUGCCACACUUCCAUAUUUCAGGAAUGUGCAUAUAAAACAAAGACUCCAUAAGUGAGGCCGGGCCCGGUGGCUCACAUCUGUAAUCCCAGCACUUUGGGAGGCUGAGGUGGGCAGAUCACGGGGUCAGAAGAUAGAGACCAUCCUGGCUAACACGGUGAAAUCCUGUCUCUACUAAAAAUACAAAAAUGAGCCAGUCGAGGUGGCGGGUGCCUGUCGUUCCAGCUACUGGGGGGCUGAGACAGGAGAAUGGCGUGAACCCGGGAGGCGGAGCUUGCAGUGAACCGAGACUGCGCCACUGCACUCCAGCCUGGGCGACAGAGCAAGACUCUGCCUCAAAAAAAAAAAAAAAACCAAAAUGUUUAAAAAAGACUCCAUGAGUGACGGCACUUCCAUCUGUCCUUAGAAAACGUGGCCCUGGAUGUAUUUCCACGUGGACUUUGCCCACCUAGAACUCUUCCCUCGGGAAGAGUCCCGCAACCAAAGUCUCCAUGGGGCCAUCACUUUCCAAAAUUUGAGACGGGUUCUGACCCUGCUGCAGCAUGAGGCUCCCCAGGAGCCAGGAGCACAGGAGCCAGGAGCCAGGAGCCCAGGUGGAUGGAAGAGCCCCGGAGCCCCGGAGCCCCGGAGCCAGGAGCCCAGGUGGAUGGAGGAGCCCCGGAGCCCCGGAGCCAGGUGGAUGGAGGAGCCCAGGAGCCAGGAGCCCAGGAGCCAGGAGCCAGGAACCAGGAGCCCAGGAGCCCAGGUGGAUGGAGGAGCCCAGGAGCCCAGGAGCCAGGAGCCCAGCUGCCCAGGAGCCCAAGAACCAGGAGCCCAGGUGCCCAGGAACCAGGCAGCUGGAGGAGCCCAGGAGCCAGGCAGAUGGAGGAGCUGCUCUGGGGGGGCCUCCUGGCCUGUGGCCUGUGUCCCAGAGUGCCCAGAAACUACCCAGACGCUGGGCAAGACAAACCAGCUGCUGCCUGUGGCCCUGGGGGCAGAACCCGGGGACUUCCUGACCUGGUCCUUGGGUAGAGUCCGAGCUGUGCCCUUCCCUGGAGAGACAUCAUGGGUUCUGGAGCCAAAGGCUUGGCAUCCGCUGACCUGGGGUCAUGAAGCGUCCUAAGCCGACCCCCUCACCUCAUCCCGAGGAAUUAAUACUUCUGAGGAGAUGAAGGAAACCGCUUACCCUUAUAUCGUCUCCAGAAUUCAUCCUUUAGAAUUAAAACAUAAAAGUGUUACAAAUGGGACAUUUGUUUUUCUAUAUUCUUUCCUGUAGAUGAAGUUUUUUUUUAAGGUCUCCGUUAAAAGCAUGAAGUUCUCUGAAAGUCACCGCAAGCUGGGUGGUGUGUGUGUUGGACUAUCUGGUCAGUGUGUGGGCCUUGCCUGACCUGAGGAAAGUCCAGUGGGGUCUGAGCUGACUUCCGGCCCCACUCACCUGCUGUAGGUAAGAGUGGAUCAGUGGGUGGGUUAAGUCACUUCUGUAAAUUGUUUCCUCAUCUGUAAAACUGGGAUUGUGUUAACCUCAUCGGUAAGUAAAUAGGCUAAUUAAUUAAGCUGAAUCGCUGAGAAAUGAUGCUCCCUGGGUCAGCAGAAGUCUAAAUAACGAGGAAGCCUGUGGUUCAUGGUGGGGGGUACAUACAGUGACUACUUCAUUUUCGAACACUUCUCUUGCUUCUUCAUAGGUACAGAUUUCUUCGUAACAUUCUUUUUCCAAGUUUCCCUCGAAGAGUUCUUCCAGGAGAUAGGAGCCCGCACGCUUCCACCUCACGAGAACGUUGUUUGCUUUGGAGGCCGGGAGAAAUACUACAGACAAGACAAGAAGACGGUGACUGGGAGCACCGAGGGCCCUGCUUUCCAGAACUGCCUGGCUUCCUCCCCAGCCAGCCGCCAGCCCCUGCCUGCCCCCUCCGCCUGCGAGGGCCUCAGGACCACCCCGCCACUCCCUCCCCCGAGCAGGCCCUGCGAUUUCCAGGAGGAGAAGGCAAACCAGUCGGCCUGCAGCUGUGGUCUCUAGAGGCUCUUCCUGCCCAAGGGCCCCAAAGCACGUUCUCUCCCUCUCCCAGAGGGUCAAAGCCCAGGCCCUUCACAUCCUCCCUCCCUUUCUCUCGGUGCUGAGGGUUACAGCAGGGAUGGCUCAGCUAAGUCCGGCCACGGGGAAUUAAGACAAGUCUGGGCACUCAGGGCUCCUCCGGCUCCUGGGAAAAGUGUCAUCUACAAAUCUACCGUGGACUGAAUCAAGGACACAGCACAGGCACGACGGACAGGGUGGCAGCAGAGAGAACGAGUGCAAGCAGCGGAAAUGCCAGAUGCUUAUAAAACCAUCAAAUCUCAUGAGACUCACUGUCCCAAGAACAGCAUGGCAGAAACCACCCCCAUGAUCCAAUCACCGCCCACCGGGUCCCUCCCUCGACACGUGGGGAUUAUGGCAAUUACAGUUCAAGACAAGAUUUGGGAGGGGACACAGCCAAACCAUAUCAGCACUUGAAGCCUGAGGUAAGAACCUGGUGUUUCCUUUCUACUGUGUUGGGAAGAUAUUGGAGGGAAGAGGAAUUGACAUGGAAAGAUUUGUGCUCUGAAGGGAUCACUGUGGCUGCUGUGUGGAGAACAGAACAU